AGCCUGAACUGUCAGAAGGUGACAGCCGGCAGAAAGUUCCUGCCCUGGGGUCACAGCUGGAUUCCGGCAACUUGCUCCUUGAUUUACCAGUAAAACUAAUAAUAAUAGAUGGAUGUUCUGCUCUAUGUUUGUCCACAAAAGAAUUCACGACUCUGGACCUACAGUACUCUUCAGCAAAGCAGGAGGGGUGUAUUCCUGCCUGCAGACUUUGGGAAAUCACCACAGGGAGUCAGACUACUGAAGCACAGUCAAGCAGUAAAUCUACCAGCAACUUUUGCUGUCUUCAGAUACAAAUUCACGGGGAAGGUAGAGAGCAGUUCAACCAGAGGAGCCUGUGCCUUCAAGGAAGCCUGUUUUAGUGCAGUGCAGAAGCAGGACCUCAUCUUCCUUUUGUCCACAUCCUGA
RNAcentral lists this long non-coding RNA (405 nucleotides) under Coturnix japonica (Japanese quail). RNAcentral describes it as "lncRNA (ENSCJPG00005009929.1)". The record is from RNAcentral. Lineage: Eukaryota; Metazoa; Chordata; Aves; Galliformes; Phasianidae.